Molecule: ribosomal RNA, 484 nt
Filed under: uncultured bacterium
Lineage: Bacteria
Description: partial 16S ribosomal RNA
Rfam family: Bacterial small subunit ribosomal RNA
Source: RNAcentral
GACGAACGCUGGCGGCGUGCUUAACACAUGCAAGUCGAACGAUGAAGCUGGAGCUUGCUCCGGUGGAUUAGUGGCGAACGGGUGAGUAACACGUGAGCAAUCUGCCCUUGACUCUGGGAUAACUGCGGGAAACUGUAGCUAAUACCGGAUACUUUCACUGGAAGGCAUCUUCUGGUGAAGAAAGAAUUUCGGUAAAGGAUGAGCUCGCGGCCUAUCAGCUUGUUGGUGAGGUAACGGCUGACCAAGGCGACGACGGGUAGCCGGCCUGAGAGGGUGACCAGCCACACUGGGACUGAGACACGGACCAGACUCCUACGGGAUGCAGCAGUGGGGAAUAUUGCACAAUGGGCGCAAGCCUGAUGCAGCAACGCCGCGUGAGGGAUGACGGCCUUCGGGUUGUAAACCUCUUUUAGCAGGGAAGAAGCGAAAGUGACGGUACCUGCAGAAAAAGCACCGGCUAACUACGUGCCAGCAGCCGCAGUAA